RNA transcript from Aegilops tauschii subsp. strangulata, 1185 nucleotides. RefSeq lists it as uncharacterized. The record is from RefSeq and is a predicted model, not a curated record. NCBI's taxonomy places the organism in Eukaryota, Viridiplantae, Streptophyta, Magnoliopsida, Poales, Poaceae.
AAUGGCAGCCAGGUGGUCGGACCGGUCGUUGCCUGCACUUUUGCAGAAAACACCCUGCCGUUUUGUCUAAUUAACCCGCGCUAUAGGGGCACCUGAAUUAAAUCUGUCGCAAAUCCCCUUCGCGUCCGCUCAUUGCUUCUGUGUUCAGUUCCCCAUCUCCAGCUCCAUGCUCCUAGCUCGCCGCCGCCAGCAAGCUCACCGCCGGCGUCAAGCUUUCAGUCGCAGUCUAGCUCGCCCUCAUGGUCUCCUGGGAUGAUCUCUCAAGCUCCUCGUUUGACGGUGACUCCGUCACCAGUUAGGCACCCGCCACCAUUUUCUGCUCACAAUGGAGAGGCCUUGCUACAAAAUUUGCUUCUAGAUGUGAGCACCUAGCUGUGUGUGAGAAGCUGCUGGCAUUUUCUUCAGUGGAUAGUGGUAGGAGGUUCUUAACUUGUGCACAGAAGGAAGCACCUAAAUGCAACUAUGUUGAGUGGGUUGACCCUGACUGGCCUGUCCCUUUGAAGAUGAGCCUAGCUAGGAUUUGGGACAUGUAUGAGGAUGAGAACAAGCUGAGGCUGAGGCAAAAUGUAGUUAAUGCAGAAGAAAAUUUCAAGAUCAUGGAAGAGAAGGAGAAGAUGGAAAAAGAGUUGAGGUUUUUUAAGGUUGAUUUUGUAAAAAUGGUGCCUGACAAAGAGAAGGCAUUGGCCCAACUAGGCAACACACAUCUUGCUCUGACAGACCUGAAGCAAGAACUUGAGAAGAAGAAUUUUUUUGACAAAUCCGUCACAAAUAUUCAUCAGGUUGUGAGGGCCAAGGCAGAGAAAGAGAGGGGCCUAAUGCAGCAGGAGAGGGAAAAAUUAAUGGAAGAGAGGGACAGUUUGGUGUUGCAGAGAGAUCAGCUAAAGUAAGAUAAAAAGAAGUUGGAGUAUACGAUGGGUGAUAUCUUCAAGCAUAAGGAGGAAACCAAGGGCAAGAAAAGGAAGCUAAAGGAGAUGCUGGAUGAAUUUGAGUGAUGAUGUGCACUGUUGUUGUAAUGGUCCCAUAAUUUGUAGUAGCUCUAAUUUGAUGAACUGGCAGAGAUAUUUAAGUGAUUUGUGUGAACUGGCUGAAGUACUUUCUGUAAUGCAGUAUGUGUGAACUUGAGUAAUGUGUGUAAUGCAGCAUGUGUGAACUCUAGUAACUGGAAGUUCUAAAAUUUAAAUGAUU